Long non-coding RNA from Fukomys damarensis (Damara mole-rat), 245 nucleotides. RefSeq lists it as uncharacterized. The transcript has 4 exons. The record is from RefSeq and is a predicted model, not a curated record. Lineage: Eukaryota; Metazoa; Chordata; Mammalia; Rodentia; Bathyergidae.
CAGUGGGCUGCGCGCGCAGCACCUUGCAGACCCGGAAGUGGUUCCUGUGGAGUGGAGGUCACAGUGCCGCGCAUUGACUGCUGAAGACUCACUGCCUGAGGAAGAGGUCCAGAAGUGAAGGAAAAGGAGUCAGUAAUGGCUUUUGCUCAGAUAGUUGCAGUUCAGUGAGAUUUUCCUUGUGAUUCACACAGAAGCCUCUGUCAAGUCUUCCAUCCUCUCUGCAACGGCACUCAAAGUCACGCAUA